RNAcentral lists this transfer RNA (77 nucleotides) under Candidatus Nomurabacteria bacterium. RNAcentral describes it as "tRNA-Cys". It matches the Rfam family "tRNA". Rfam says of the family: Transfer RNA (tRNA) molecules are approximately 80 nucleotides in length. Their secondary structure includes four short double-helical elements and three loops (D, anti-codon, and T loops). Further hydrogen bonds mediate the characteristic L-shaped molecular structure. tRNAs have two regions of fundamental functional importance: the anti-codon, which is responsible for specific mRNA codon recognition, and the 3' end, to which the tRNAs corresponding amino acid is attached (by aminoacyl-tRNA synthetases). tRNAs cope with the degeneracy of the genetic code in two manners: having more than one tRNA (with a specific anti-codon) for a particular amino acid; and 'wobble' base-pairing, i.e. permitting non-standard base-pairing at the 3rd anti-codon position. The record is from RNAcentral. RNAcentral also lists the same sequence under 1 other name. Lineage: Bacteria; Candidatus Nomuraibacteriota.
GGUGCAGUGGUGAAGUUGGUUAACACGACGGUCUGCAAAACCGUUAUACGCCGGUUCGAACCCGGCCUGCACCUCCA